GGAGCCGGCCAGGCAGCCGCCGCGCCCCGCGGCGGGCGCGGAGGAAAGUCCGGGCUCCACAGGGCAGGGUGCCAGGUAACGCCUGGGCGGCGCGAGCCGACGGAAAGUGCCACAGAAAACAGACCGCCGAUGGCCGGCCCCGUGCCGGCACAGGCAAGGGUGAAAAGGUGCGGUAAGAGCGCACCGCGCGGGUGGUAACACUCCGCGGCAGGGCAAACCCCACCCGGAGCAAGACCAAAUAGGGGGGCAUGCGGCCGAGCGCCGCGGCGCGUGGCCCGCGCGCAGCCCCCGGGUAGGUCGCUCGAGGCGUGCGGCGACGCACGUCCCAGAUGAAUGGCUGCCCACGACAGAACCCGGCUUAUCGGCCGGCUCCCCCC
This 377-nucleotide RNase P RNA is filed under the name Inmirania thermothiophila. Its description in RNAcentral is "Bacterial RNase P class A". It matches the Rfam family "Bacterial RNase P class A". Rfam says of the family: Ribonuclease P (RNase P) is a ubiquitous endoribonuclease, found in archaea, bacteria and eukarya as well as chloroplasts and mitochondria. Its best characterised activity is the generation of mature 5'-ends of tRNAs by cleaving the 5'-leader elements of precursor-tRNAs. The record is from Rfam by way of RNAcentral. Lineage: Bacteria; Pseudomonadati; Pseudomonadota; Gammaproteobacteria; Chromatiales; Ectothiorhodospiraceae.